RNAcentral lists this ribosomal RNA (625 nucleotides) under uncultured Actinomycetes bacterium. RNAcentral's name for it is "bacterial SSU rRNA". It matches the Rfam family "Bacterial small subunit ribosomal RNA", at positions 77 to 702 of the family's 1533-position model. Lineage: Bacteria; Bacillati; Actinomycetota; Actinomycetes. The record is from RNAcentral.
CUUGCUGGGUUGGAUGAGUGGCGAACGGGUGAGUAACACGUGAGUAACCUGCCCCCUUCUUUGGGAUAACGGUCGGAAACGGCUGCUAAUACCGGGUAUUCACUGUCCUUCGCAUGGGGGGUGGUGGAAAGGUUUUUUCUGGUGGGGGAUGGGCUCGCGGCCUAUCAGCUUGUUGGUGGGGUGAUGGCUUACCAAGGCUUUGACGGGUAACCGGCCUGAGAGGGUGACCGGUCACAUUGGGACUGAGAUACGGCCCAGACUCCUACGGGAGGCAGCAGUGGGGAAUAUUGCACAAUGGGCGAAAGCCUGAUGCAGCGACGCCGCGUGAGGGAUGACGGCCUUCGGGUUGUAAACCUCUUUCGCUCAUGGUCAAGCCGCAACAGUGGUUGUGGUGAGGGUAGUGGGUAAAGAAGCACCGGCUAACUACGUGCCAGCAGCCGCGGUAAUACGUAGGGUGCGAGCGUUGUCCGGAAUUAUUGGGCGUAAAGGGCUUGUAGGCGGUUUGUCGCGUCUGCCGUGAAAUCCUCUGGCUUAACUGGGGGCGUGCGGUGGGUACGGGCAGGCUUGAGUGCGGUAGGGGAGACUGGAACUCCUGGUGUAGCGGUGGAAUGCGCAGAUAUCAGGA